AUUGAAAUAAAAAUCAAACUAGAGGGAUAAUUAAUAAAAAAAAAAUUAUUGAAAUUAAAAUAAUGACUGAAGCUCAAUGCGCGCGAACGUCCAAGGAUCAAAACUGAAAAUAUUCCAGAUCCCAAAACAUGGCGUUUAGGCGCAGAUUAAAUUGCAAAGACGCGCAAAUUCUAUGCCAAAUUUGAAAUGAAGUAAAGUGGAAAUAAGGUUCAAUUUAAAGGUCUGCGCGAAAACGAACUAGUCGCGCAAUUUGACCAUUCGAAGUAAAAGGGCGCGGAUCUGGGCCACAAAACGGGUCGGCGUGCGGAUCUUCUUCCUCCAGACGGUACCGUUUCAUGUUCUGCACAAAAUAAGGUAAAAACCUUAAAACUAAUAAAAACAAAUCAAAAUAAAACAAAACCUAAGGUCUAUCCCUUAUUCAUUCGACCGGAAGCUUCACAAUCGCCAUUUCAUCUCCAUAUUCAACAGACGACGUCAGACGAAAGCUUAAUCUGGCCCUAUUUGACCGCAAAUCCAUGAGUUUUUCUAGGCUUUAACUUCAAUCCUCAUCUAGGCUUCGAUUACCACGAAGCAAACAAGGAUUUUGAAGCUUCCAAAAAAAAGUUAAGUCUCUCCCCUUUACUUAUUUUUUUUGCUUUCAUAUGUAGUAACAAAGCUUUAAAAAAAAUAGGAGCUGAAUCCAAAAGAAAAUAAAAUCUAAAUCACCUUUUGAAAAACUGCUCUUGAGAUGAUUUCUUAUUCAAACUUUUCUAGAUUUGUACUCAUAAAAUAUGCGUGUGUAUUUUCUGAAAAAAACUGAUCCUCUUUACAGCUGAUUCUCUGGCUUUUUAUAGCCGAAUCAAGAGAAAUAAUAAAAAAUAAAUAAAAAAUAAAAGAAAAUACAAUGGCCUUGGAUUUUCUGUUAUGCAUUUGCUGUCAAUUGUUGUAUAUCUGCUGUGUUGUUUGCUAGUCCGUUUUGCAGGUACAAAGGUCGUGGUGUUGCUGACGCGGUGGGACUGUUCAUGGGAGCUACAGUAGUGGCUUCCAGAAGCUUCAAUUGACUUGGGCUCUGGGAGCUUACCUCGGAGUCAAGCUGUUGGAGCUUGGAGGCUAUUGCGGCACGAGGAGACUUCAGAAACCCUUAGGGUUUCUGAAAGAAUUUAGACAUUGGGCCUUUUUGGGUUAAUUUUACUUUGGACAAAGGUUUAAAUUUGGGCUGUUAUUUUUGGGCUUUUGUACUUAGGCUAAUUGACCUAGACUUAUUUAGGUUUUAAAUUAACUCGGGCUCUUUGGGGUUUAUUAAGCUAUAAAUGUAAAUGGACUGGAACUAUUAAAACAUUUGGUUUUAUUUAUUUUAUUUUUUUGGUUUUUGUGUGGACCCGGGCACAAAUUGGGUCUUACAAAGUUGAUCCCCGUUGUUUUCAAAAAUCAAAAUAAAAAAAUGGUUUCAACAGCUUGGUGACUCCACUGGGGACCCAACAAGAGAGUCAAGCCAUAAAAUUGAUUAUUUGUUGUCCUUUUGUCAAAAUAUUGAAACUUUGUUUUGAAAAUUAUGAUUGCAUUUGUUUGUCUGAUUGUUAUGGUUCGGGUCUUGUAGAAUAAUAUUGCAUUGCAUUGCAUGACCGUUGUGGUUAUAUCUUUAAGUGGGAGUAAGAAAGUAUGCUUUCGUGAGGUUUUCACCUUCGCAUUGGCUAGUGGAUUGCUUCCUGGAUACAUCUGUACCUAUACUUUCGUGAGAUUUUCAUCUCUGUAUGGUCAUAGGGAAAUGUAUUCCCCUGAAUCGAACUCGAUCCAUAUGAGCCUAUAAUGGGUGAGGAUUGAGGAAUCUGCUGGUUCAGGUACCUUCUAAUUAGAACCGAACCACAUAUAGUGAACCUUAAGAGCUACCCUUAGGUAGAGUCAUGUUAAGCAUUAGUAGUGGCCCAUAUCUAUGUUCUGAUUAUUUUUGGUUUCUGCUGGUAUCGUAUUACUUAUAUUUGAUACUAGCUUGUGUUUUGUUUUGAUUGUGUUUUGCAUGACAUUGCAUACUAAAGGAGGUGUUAAUUCAUAUUUGAUUACUAACUUAGAAGAUUUAACAUAGAGAAUACGGCCGACCUUGCAUGGUCAGAGAAGUUACAAUCUGAGAAAGAGGAUAGCCUGGUAGAAGGAUAUACAUCAGAGUUGCAGGAAUUCACUUGCGUCAAUGUAACACAAAAUAAGUUACAAGAGUUGAGAGAUAUAUGGGCUCAUUGGGAUGAGGGAACGAAACAGUUGUUCUAUCAAAGCUAUGGUGAUAUAUCCUACUUGCUAAAUAUUAAGGUGGACAAGUAUCUGUUUCGAGUUAUAGUUCAAUUUUGGAAUUCUGCUUACAAGUGUUUCACUUUUGGGGAAGUGGAUUUAGUGCCUACUGUGGAGGAAUAUACUACCCUGCUCAGGUGUCCAAAAGUUCAAGUUAGAAAAGCUUAUGCCAAGGUUUAAUGGUCAAACUUUCGUGAAAAAAUUGAUGAAUCUUUCAGGGAUGAGUGAGCCUUGGGUCACUGCUCGAAUUCAACAAAAGGGGGAUAGUAAUUGUAUCCCUUGGGAGAAUUUGAGAGAUUUGGUUUUAACAUAUCCAGAUUAAAGAAAGAGGGUCGAUAUCUUCGCUUUAAGUAUCUAUGGAUUGGUAAUUUUUCCUAAAGCUUUAAGGCAUGUAGAUGAGGCAGUCACUGACUUAUUCAACCAUCUUGAGAGGGAAUCACACUUGUACCUGCAAUAUUGGCUGAGACGUUCAGAUCCUUAAGCAUUUGUCAGAAGACGGGCGAGGGGCGUCUUAUUGGGUGUGCAUAGCUGUUGAUGGUGUGGUUCCAUGGGCACUUUUGAAAGGUAAACAAGGUUUCUUACCGGGUCUUUUCUGAAAGUUAUUCCCCGUUAAAGGAAGAGGCAGCUAUGCAGAGGAGAGACGAUAUUUCAGAGGGAAAAUGGAUGGAAAUUCUUCAGAAUCUCAAGGAAGAGGAUAUAGCGUGGAGAGCUCUUUGGAUGGUUUCUGAUGAAAUCCUAUAUCGAUGCGGGAAUUUUGAUUGGGUACCAUUGUCAAGAAUUUGUAGAGCUACUGGGUAUACUCCAUUGCUUGCAUUAAAGCAAUAUAAAUCGAGGCAACUUGUACCCACAACUUACGGGCUUGCUCAGUGUGAAUUCUCCUAUAAAUGUGACCACUAUAAGAAUAAGGUUUGGGAACUGCCUGAUGCUUGGAAGCAAACUCGUUGGAUGAAGAGGUUGGCUGUCGGUUCCAUGGUGACACCUGAAUACAAUGGAUGGUUUAGGAAAAGGGUCAAUGAUAAUAUUCCUACGCCAAGUUUAGAAGAUACUCGACCUGUGGAAGAACAAUUACAAGUUGCCCCAUCAGAGUUGGAAAUUAUAAAACAAAAUUUUGAGAAGAAGAGUUUUGAGCUUGGGAAGAAGAUCGAAUAGUUAGAGGAAGAAAAGAUGCAUCUGAGAUUAGAUGUAGACAUUCAGAGGUCAGAGGAUGAGAAGUGGAGAAAAGGGAAAAGUAAGGCCAAAGAGGAUCUGGAUAGUUUGAAGAUAGAUUAUAAGAAGUUAUGCCUGUCUAUGAGGACUGCUGGGUUAGGUAAAACUUCAAAGCAAUCGCGCCAGCAAAUUCGAGAGGAAAAGACCAAAGCCGACCGAUGGGAAAGGAAAUUCCGAGAGGCUCAGGCAUGAAAUGAGGAUUUAGAGAAGAGUUUGUUAGAAAGUAGAAAUGAACGAGGUGAAUUAAGGGUUAAAGUGGCAGAACUCGAGAAGUCUAUUCAUCAGUACCGAAGCCGUAAUACCGCAAUGGAGUUGAGAGUAAGCUUGAGUAAGGUAGAAGAAAUGAAAAGCAAAGUAGAAGAAUUAGAAGUGUCAUUACAAAGCUGUGAGAUGUGGAUUCAAUUUUUCGAAGCAAGUGAGGAGCGUUGGAAGAACAGCUUCACCAUGCGCAAGACCAAGUCAGAAACAGGGAUUACAUUAUGGGAGAAGCCGUAAUCCAGAUUUAGGAGGUAGCCGAUUACUUGCAAACUUUAGCGGUACAAGAAGACAUACUGAGCGUGAAGUACGAGCUAGAGUCAGAUCGGGGGCAGGAGCUAGCCUCGUUGCUUAGGAAAAUUAAGGCUCUGAGCAUUAGGGUGAAGUCUUAUUUGUAACUCAGUUUUAUGUAAAGAAUUUUAUUUUCUAGUAAAGUUUUCUAAAUGGAAUUGAAUUAAAAUCAAUGCCUCCUUUGCAUUCAUGCAUUUGCAUUACAUUACAAUAUGCAUUAAAGGUCAUAAAAAGAUUCUAAUUAAUUAAUAAUUAUUUCAAUAAUCUGGAAACCAAUGAAAACCAACCAAGUACGCACCCUUACGGUACAAGGAAAAAGACUAAAUCAAUGGACAAAACAAAAUGCAAAAGGACACGCAGGAACAAAUGCAGUCACAGAUGCAAGAACAGCUAACCAAGAUUCAACAAGAGAUGAAAGAUCAAAUGAUGGAAUCCCAAAGAGAGAUAUGAG
Molecule: long non-coding RNA, 4459 nt
Filed under: Gossypium barbadense (sea-island cotton)
Lineage: Eukaryota; Viridiplantae; Streptophyta; Magnoliopsida; Malvales; Malvaceae
Description: long non-coding RNA (GBAR_LNC002952)
Source: RNAcentral